AUAUGGUAAGGCAUUUUGAAUGCUGGUAUUGUUCACGGAUUUGAAUAUUUUGCGCAACAGAAAAUCAUCCUAGUAAAAUUCGAUACUUUUAACUAUCAUUAUCAAAAUUAUUUGCCACGAAGCAAGAAAAGGUAUAAAUUAUAUUUAUUUAGUGAAGAAUAAAUUUGACAGAUUGCCAUGUUUUGCUAUACAACUUUGGAAUUUGUAUCUUGGAAAUUGGUGUCCUAAAAGUAAUAAUAAUAUUUAAUAUUUGAUCUAAACUAAUCGCAAAUAAUAUUGUAACAUUUACCGCCUGGCUUUUGGUUUACAUCAUUUUUUGGGAAAACUCACAGGUCGCAAAACAUAAUAUAAUGUAAAAUAAAGCAAGGCAUUUCUAUAAAAUAUUAAUAAAGAUUGCUGCAAUCACGUUAUCAGAAUAUCGCCACUAAGUCGCUGCUGUUCUGAAUAUGCCACUUGAGAUUACCAUGUUUGCUGAUUUCACAGUUUUUUUUUUCGCAAAGGUAUGCAAGUAAUAUUAAACCAGUGAGAUUUCCACGUGGGAGAAAACGCUCAUAUUUGAAUAUUAAAUUAGAAACCUGAAAUAAAAAAAUUGACGCGUGGUGAUGAAGAGGCAGAAACCGCAACCUAUUGUCAGAUCCUGCUAAAUUCUAAUCCUCCGGAUUCGGUAUUCUGAAUUGCCCAUCCCUAACUAUGAUGGACAUAUUAUUAAGCUAACCAAUGUUAUUAAGUAUAUUCAAUCAAUUAUUAUCAUACUUAAUUGAAUGAAAAACAUUUCUUGGGAUUCUUCACGGAUCUUUGUAGCUUAUUAAUAAAUAAUAACUUCGCAGAAUGGCAAAAAUAUGCAUGAAAAAUUAAUUAUAAUCGGGCAGUUUACCACACAUAUUAUGUCCGUAGAUUGCUAUGGUAUUUAAAAGCAGUGGUUCUCAAACAGUUGGGUGUGCCCCGCUAGAGGUUAGUUGGAGUGCAGCUACUGUAUAGCCUCACUUAUGAGCCAAUCUCACGUAUAAGCCGACCUUCUAAAAACGACUUUAUUAAAAUAGUAAAUUUAUAAAAAUUUGCGUAUAAGCCGACUCUCCAAAUCGUAACAUGCUGUAAGCAACUAUUACAGUCGAUGAUGUUCAAUUCAAAUUUAAUAUUCAAAUAUUGCUAUUCGCUAUCUUCUAGUAUCGUUUUCAGUGUUUAUAUUAAUAGGGCAUAUUGCACACACAUUUUGAUUGAGAACAUUUUUCGAUAUUCGUAUUCGAAGACAGCCCCUUACGGCACGACUAAAUUACUGUCGACAUGAGAGGAUUUAAAUGAGCGCCGACUUGAAGUACUUACAACACAUCGAGGAUGUUUUUGAUUGAAAAUAUUUUACAAUUAUUUUUGUAUUUUUAACAUAGUCAAGAUAUCAUGGGUGACCACGACAAUAAAUUUAGAAGCAAAUUGUGUCGUAAUUCAUUGUUUUCAUCAAUAGUGACCGAGCAUACCGGGAAAUCUUUGCAUUUUCAGCCUAUGAAAUAGCUCUUAAAUAUUAUUUAGUAUCUAUGGCCGAUGUUAUUUGUUAGCCUGGCGCCAUUGAUGAUAAUAUCGUUCAGUUUAGGUUUGCGGUAUUAGUUUAUGAAAAGUAACUCGGCUUAUAUGCAAUUAUAUACGUACAAAGAGAGUGGGCCAUUCUAACAGAAGAUUAGCAGCCCAGAUAGACAGAAGACCAUGAUCGGAUGAUAAUAACCUCAACUCAACAUUUUAUGAACAUCUGACUUGUUCAUUACAAAAUACCUUGUGUGAUGAUAUGGCGAUGGGAAGUGAGAACGUCUUCAGUCAGACAUGAUUGUCUAUCCAGUAAUUGCAAUAUUUCUGUUUGCAAUACAUUACAGUACAGCAUUUAUUGAAUUACAGGU
This is a non-coding RNA of Styela clava, 1880 nucleotides long. The record is from RefSeq and is a predicted model, not a curated record. NCBI's taxonomy places the organism in Eukaryota, Metazoa, Chordata, Ascidiacea, Stolidobranchia, Styelidae.